Molecule: long non-coding RNA, 2327 nt
Organism: Tigriopus californicus
Lineage: Eukaryota; Metazoa; Arthropoda; Copepoda; Harpacticoida; Harpacticidae
Exons: 2
Source: RefSeq, a predicted model, not a curated record
CUUCUCGCCUCUUUCCAUUCUCUGGCGAUCCCUGAGCGUAAAUGCAGUGCAGCACACAAAGAGCGGCGGCGGAGGAAUUGAGCUUGCCGCCAAGACAGCUGCCAAUUGCAUGGCUCCAAAACAACAGCUGAGACCUCCUUCACACGAAAGAAAGCUCACGAGACGCCCCUGGUUCUAGCCUUGUUUGGAAUAAAUGCAACCCUCAUCAAAGGCUGAGUCAAGACCCUAUGGAAAAAAGCACUUCAACAAUCCAAUGAACAAGUUCAACUUCGCGUCCAAUCCGACUGACAAUGAGGAAAAAGAGUGUUUCAGAGGUCCAAUGAAAUAUUUAUCACGGGACUCGAUCCGAGUCCGCUCUUUGUGAAAACCCUCGCCAAUCGGAAUAAUAAAAUGAAUCAUAGCCCAAUCUGGAGAUCCGAUCCCGGGAAAGAACGGCGACGACGACGACGACCCCUGUUUGUUUGCUCACCCUCGAGAAGGGGCCAAAGACCAGAGAGAAGGACUUGGAAAACCUCUCGAGGGACUCACAAUUUCGGUCUCAACUGGAUCCGGCCGUGCAAUAUCUUCAAUUCAAUGCCAUGAAUGAAUGAGACAACCUACAAACGCGAUCGUGUGUGGGUCCUUGUGGAAGUUAAACAUCCUGUGUCUGCUCGCACUUGGCGGCAUAAAUCCUCGAAUUGUGACAAGUAGAAUCGAGAAGAAUGCUCUUCUUAAGCAUCUAAUCCACGAUCGAGAGACUUGAGCAGGUGAAGAUGAGUGAAUGGAAUAUACCCUGCAGGGGUUUUCAUUGGCACCAAGCAAAAACACCAUGUGCAAUGACAACCCGUCUCCGUCACGUCUUCGCGGGCUUGGCCGAUGACAACCGAAUGACAUCAUUGAGUUGUCUUUGAGGGUGAAGAUACAGGAUAUUUUGCAUACGUGAGUUAUGGCUUCAAAACGGAGGUGUUGACAAGUUUAACUCCGACCCACCUGUCAAUGUCAUCCGUUGAAUGAAGAGUGAUGAUGAGAAUUCAAACAUUCGGCUUUUUUGCACACAGUCUUGCUCUUUUUUUUGCUGGCUCACUCCACGAACGCCAAAGUUAACUCUCUCGUUCGUACUGGCGAGGCAGUCAUAAAUCUGGUAGUGUCUGACCGCCGUGUGCUGCCAAAUAAAUCUCUAAGGGGUUUGGGGGCGCGCAAGUUCCAAACUUGGAUUUUGUCGCUUGUCCUAAUUCUCUUGUGAAUCUGCCCGGAGAUUUUUCUCACAAAAUCUGUGAACUAAUGAAGACAAGUCGCUCACAUGGACCCAAGUAUGCCUUCACUCGGUUCUUGGGUAGCUGAGUGGGUGGGUUGAGUUGGAAGAGGAUGGAUGGGUGUGCGUAGUCUCCCGAAACGAGAAAAUACAGGCUUGGAAUAAUUGUACACACUGUAGUACGUACACCUCAUCCUCGUUAUCUGGCCAUAUUUUCAGCUUAUUAGCAAGCCAAUUACACAUGUCGCGUCGCAAGAAAAUGACGUGAUUUCAAUUUAGAUUGCCAUAUGGCCAAGAUCAACCACGACAUCGACCCGAUGGUAGGGUGAGAGGAGUGUAUUCAAAUUACAUGUGGAGCUCCUACCCAUCUCCCUGAAGCACGGCACAUGAAUCAACCAGUCAUCCAGUCGGCAACAUUGUAGUAGCCAUCCACUUUUACUACCUUUUGACACGGAACCAGUGCAAUUGGCCACAUCUGUCCUCAGGAAGAGAAAUGUCACUCAAUCGGGGAAUGAACCGAAUGUCCGUCUUUGGCUGAUCAAUACACAUAUCCUGGGUCGGAGAAAUCUGGUCUUGGAUGGGCAGUUGACCAACCUUUCCGGACCAUAAAUUGAAGCUGGUUAUUGUUUUACGAUGCACUGUGGCCGACCCCGGAGAACGAUCUUCUAAUCAUGUUCGAUCAGCAUUUGGAAAGCCCACCACCAACGCUCGUAAAACUUAGUCACCCAUCCAUCUCGAUGGACCACACCUGUUUUCUCGGGACUCCUAGGCGAUGAACCCUUGUUAAAUGCAAAAACAUGGCCCCGGUGUCUAUCUAUUAAAGGGACAGGCUCUAUUGUCCAUCUGUCCAGAAAUGUUCCACAAAGUGUUCAAGCCAGAAGGAACCUGAAUGAACCUGAGGAAGAUUCGAUUGCCACAAUUUUACGAUCCGUGUCGCCCCGUGGUCCCUUUAAAACUUUAUUGGCCUUGUGAAAAUCGUAAUCUUCAUGUUCCUAGUGAGUGCUUGUUUAUAAGUGAACGAUUUGUUAGUUCUCUGUCAGCCUAGAGUACAGCAAAGCAGGUACGGGUACAAAAUAAAAGGUUGUGUCCGGUCAAA